RNAcentral lists this ribosomal RNA (887 nucleotides) under uncultured marine group I thaumarchaeote. RNAcentral's name for it is "SSU rRNA". It matches the Rfam family "Archaeal small subunit ribosomal RNA", at positions 13 to 905 of the family's 1478-position model. Lineage: Archaea; Thermoproteati; Nitrososphaerota. The record is from RNAcentral.
CCUGCCGGACCUGACUGCUAUCGGAUUGAUACUAAGCCAUGCGAGUCUUUGUAGUAAUACAAGGCAGACGGCUCAGUAACACGUAGUCAACCUACCCUAUGGACAAGAAUAAUCUCGGGAAACUGGGCAUAAUUCUUGAUAGAUCAUAAUGCCUGGAAUGGUUUAUGGUUAAAAUGAUUCGUCGCCAUAGGAUGGGACUGCGGCCUAUCAGCUUGUUGGUGAGGUAAUGGCCCACCAAGGCGAUUACAGGUACGGGCUCUGAGAGGAGAAGCCCGGAGAUGGGUACUGAGACACGGACCCAGGCCCUAUGGGGCGCAGCAGGCGAGAAAACUUUGCAAUGUGCGAAAGCACGACAAGGUUAAUCCGAGUGAUUUCUGCUAAAGAAAUCUUUUGCCAGUCAUAAAACCACUGGUGAAUAAGGGGUGGGCAAGUUCUGGUGUCAGCCGCCGCGGUAAAACCAGCACCUCAAGUGGUCAGGAUGAUUAUUGGGCCUAAAGCAUCCGUAGCCGGCUUUGUAAGUUUUCGGUUAAAUCCAUGUGCUCAACGCAUGGGCUGCCGAAAAUACUGCAUGGCUAGGGAGUGGGAGAGGUAGACGGUACUCAGUAGGAAGGGGUAAAAUCCUUUGAUCUAUUGAUGACCACCUGUGGCGAAGGCGGUCUACCAGAACACGUUCGACGGUGAGGGAUGAAAGCUGGGGGAGCAAACCGGAUUAGAUACCCGGGUAGUCCCAGCUGUAAACGAUGCAGACUCGAUGAUGCAUUGGCAUAAUAGCCAGUGCAGUGUCGCAGGGAAGCCGUUAAGUCUGCCGCCUGGGAAGUACGUACGCAAGUAUGAAACUUAAAGGAAUUGGCGGGGGAGCACCACAAGGGGUGAAGCCUGCGGUCAAU